CCCUUAGAUGUUCCGGGCCGCACGCGCGCUACACUGAUGCAUUCAACGAGUUUCUUCCUGGUCCGAGAGGAAUGGGUAACCUUUUGAAAGUGCAUCGUGAUAGGGAUAGACUAUUGCAAUUAUUGGUCUUCAACGAGGAAUUCCUAGUAGACGUAGUUCAUCAGACUGCAUCGAUUACGUCCCUGCCCUUUGUACACACCGCCCGUCGCUCCUACCGAUUGAAUGCUCAGGUGAGCCAUUCGGACUUUCAUCAUGCUGGUUUCCAGUUUUGAUGAAGGAAAGUCUUGCGAACCUUAUCAUUUAGAGGAAGGAGAAGUCGUAACA
This 324-nucleotide ribosomal RNA is filed under the name uncultured eukaryote. RNAcentral's name for it is "partial 18S ribosomal RNA". It matches the Rfam family "Eukaryotic small subunit ribosomal RNA", at positions 1470 to 1796 of the family's 1831-position model. The record is from RNAcentral.